GGAGAGGUGGCCGAGUGGUUUAAGGCGCCGGUCUUGAAAACCGGUGUACGGUUAAUCCGUACCGUGGGUUCGAAUCCCUCCCUCUCCGCCA
RNAcentral lists this transfer RNA (91 nucleotides) under Elusimicrobiota bacterium. Its description in RNAcentral is "tRNA-Ser". It matches the Rfam family "tRNA". Rfam says of the family: Transfer RNA (tRNA) molecules are approximately 80 nucleotides in length. Their secondary structure includes four short double-helical elements and three loops (D, anti-codon, and T loops). Lineage: Bacteria; Pseudomonadati; Elusimicrobiota. The record is from RNAcentral.